This 155-nucleotide ribosomal RNA is filed under the name Peltigera canina. RNAcentral describes it as "5.8S ribosomal RNA". The stretch from base 34 to 155 matches the Rfam family "5.8S ribosomal RNA", at positions 1 to 123 of the family's 154-position model. From Rfam's summary of the family: 5.8S ribosomal RNA (5.8S rRNA) is a component of the large subunit of the eukaryotic ribosome. Lineage: Eukaryota; Fungi; Ascomycota; Lecanoromycetes; Peltigerales; Peltigeraceae. The record is from RNAcentral.
AGUGAUGUCUGAGCAAAUUAUUUAAAUAAGCAAAACUUUCAACAACGGAUCUCUUGGUUCCGGCAUCGAUGAAGAACGCAGCGAAAUGCGAUAAGUAAUGUGACCGCAGUACUCAGCGACUCAUCGAAUCUUUGAACGCACAUUGCGCCCCUUGG